Gopherus evgoodei (Goodes thornscrub tortoise) is the source of this 3025-nucleotide long non-coding RNA. RefSeq lists it as uncharacterized. The record is from RefSeq and is a predicted model, not a curated record. The transcript has 2 exons. Lineage: Eukaryota; Metazoa; Chordata; Testudines; Testudinidae.
GACAACAGUCCCUCUCAAAAUAGGCAUUUAGUUAAAGCAAGUGCACAGCUACAGGUUACCAUUCUUAUCACACCAGCUCUGGAUGCCGUGAAAUAAAAUCCAUGGUAAAAAUAGGUCCUCAAUUACUUUCAGUGACAGGGCAUUGAGUGACAUGACAAACUAGGCUCAGCCUCCCUUAGCACCAUUAAGCUUUGGUUGGUACUUUAUAUUGGUGGUCUUGUCUCUUCAUCCUCAUCUUAAAAAACCACCAGAUAACUAAUUUUGAGUAAAUUCAAAAUUCUUCAUGACAUGUAAACAUUUAUUACUACUUUCCCUGUACAGCACACAGAUUAGGCCCAAAGUUACAUCCCUUACAGCAAACUUUGAUAUACUGGGACCAAUUCCCCCUUCUCUUACUCUACUGUAAAUCCAUUAAUUUCAGUGGAAAUGCUCUUGAUUUACACCAGUGCAAAUGAGGGGAGAAUUUGAGCCUAUCUUACCAGAAUGGAUUGCUUCCCCACUACAAGCCAGGAUAUUAAGAAAUGUGUGCCCUUUCUAACAUCUAUAUGAUGGGAUACAUUACAUUAUCCAAUAGUGUUAGAUGGGAGAUGCCUCCACAUCACCACAAAUAUUCUGAUGGAUUUUAUGUUUACAGAACAGAUUAUUUAGCCCAUCUGCUUCCAAGAGAAAUCACCAAAGCCUCUUUAUUAUGCAGAUUUUAAGAUCCUGACCAAUCAGCUGAAGAUUAAGUUCUUGUUUUUUUACUCACACAACUUUAAUCCUUGGCACCUGCUCCUACUGGCAAUGUCUGUGGAGUUAUUUGAAUGUGCCUCUGGUGUAAUUAUUCUCCCUUUUUUUUGACCAAAGGAAGUGUUAGAUACUCCAGCAGCUGGGAUCAACAUACUUUGUCAACCUCUUCAUAUCAGCAUCCUGCUGUUAACUCCUGCUGUGAAGGAUGGCUGCAGUUAGGCAGUGCCCAUCUGAAGAUAAUUCCUUACUGAGAGUGUGAACAGUAUUUUAAGUCAAAAUAGAGAGGGUCUUCUUCUCUACUAGAAGCUAAAGACAAAGGAAGUAGUGUUAUACAGGUGGAGGGUCUUGCCACAUUUCACUCCUUUUUACCACCCAGUUAUGAAAAAGCCUUUUCAUAAUGUCUUAUAAUCAGUUAAUGGGUCUCUCUUUGUCGAUGUUGCAUAGUUAGAGCCUCACUAAACCAUCACAAGACUGAGAGCAACACAUACACCAGCACAAAAUUAUUUUUUUCCCCAAUAAUCUGCACAGACACAAAGUGCAUUUUACAAAAGGUUUUGGCCUAAAAGCUGCUCCUGUAGCAGCACUUAACUGACAGCUCUUCAGCAACAUGUUCAGUCUUACAGUCACCAUCAACUUGACAUCCAGCAAUUUGGGGGGAAAAAAUGUAAAAACUAGUUUCAGAUACUCAACCUGCUCUGUAGUCCCUCUGCCAACGUUUGCUUUUGCCAUCAUUCACAUUUUCUGAACAUUAUUUUGUUCCCCAUCAGUAUGGGCCCAUGCAAUCAACAGUGAAACUGACUAUGCAUAAUGCUAAUAUGAGCAUAGUAUAAUCACAUUAAGAGAGAAAAACAAGACACUUCAUUCUCCCCUCUAAUCCCUUUUGCUUAGAAUAAGCUUGUGUUGCAACAGUCAGAUGUAGAUAAAAAUUUAGGCAAAGACAUGAUUUGGCAAUGUCCCUUUAAGAUAAAACCACUAGUUUUUAAUCAGAGAAAAUACUCUACAAGCCAUUUUAAAUAUAAAGGUGUGGAGUCUUAUUAAGAUUGCAGAAUGGCUAAGGCAUUUGGUAAUGUGUAAGAGAGCUCUGUAGGUAGCUGGGUUCAAAUUCAGCCUAAACUGACCAGGAGUUCCAAGAUCAGCUGACUGUUUGCUGCCUCUGGGAAGAAGUAGGGCAAUAUUGCUCCAGUUCCACUGGGCAGCUGUCCACAAUUAAAACCCCCACUAAGAUUAGCCCUGCCAUGAGAAAACAUGCCAAGAAAUGAAUGGACCAUGGAGACUGAACCUGAUCCCCAAGAUAGUAAAUACUGAAUUAACUAGUUAAUUAAAAUGAGACCUAUUUUUCCCAAAUAGAUAUAAAGACAGGAUUCUCAUUUCACAUAUGCUAAUGAUUUCAGAAGUUUGUGUUACUUCCCAUUUGUUACUUUGUCCAAAAAGCACCCUACAUUUUUAUAAUAUGGAGUUCUGCAGUUACAAGUCGUCUUAGACAUGAGUUCCUGAGUACGUUGUUUGGUCACCAUGCAUGGCACUUACAGGAAAAUGAUAGUAAGAAGUUUGUCCAUAGACUGCUCUAUUAAGGAAAGAUGCUGGAGUUGUUAUGAUAGUAUGAUCCAUUGGUAUUCCAUAAUUAGUACACACAGGCUGCAAAAGGGAUCCAUUGGUUGAUGUAGGAGGCAAGAACUGGGCUCCUUGAGAGGACCCUAUGAUGGGAAAAGGUGGAGCUAUGCUCAGGCAGAUGUUGUUGGUCUGAGGAGGCCUACCCAAGGAGCGUCUGGUGGCUGAACUGGAACUGGAGAACCAAGGAGGAGCAGCAGCUUCCAGCAGCUGACUCUGGAUUGGUGCAGGCCCAUGUUGCUGCUCUUCAUCCUGGGAUUUCAGGCAUCUACAGCAGCAAAUACUAAUGAAGCCCCCAAUGACAAUGAAAGCCACAAAUAUGGACCCAACAAGGAGGAAAGGUCCCCUGCCUCAUUCUGUGCACAGGUAAAUCCUUAAAACCUGAGCUCACGUGUUCUGCAUGGACAUGAAUGUCCUGGAGCAUUUUUUAUAAAUUCAGGGGGCUGCUCUAGUACCCUUGUCCAAAAUCUCCUCUCCUCACAUGGUUGUGUAGUGGACUGUGCUCUCGUCAUCACCUGGCUGCUGCCACAGAGCCAUCUGCACUAUAGAUGUGGUGUGGAUGGUCCAAAGAUUGUAUGUGCAUAUGUAACUUGUGAACUGCUUUGGGAUCCUGUCCCCUGAAAAGCUCUAUACAGACAGACUAGGGUGCUGGUUGCAAACAGCUGUAAUAAAUGUGAAAUGGUAACAA